This 741-nucleotide ribosomal RNA is filed under the name uncultured bacterium. RNAcentral's name for it is "bacterial SSU rRNA". It matches the Rfam family "Bacterial small subunit ribosomal RNA", at positions 30 to 784 of the family's 1533-position model. The record is from RNAcentral.
UCAACGCUGGCGGCGUGCCUCAGACAUGCAAGUCGAACGAUUAAAGCUCUCUUCGGAGAGUGCAUAGAGUGGCGCACGGGUGAGUAACACGUAAGUAAUCUACCUUCGAGUGGGGAAUAACAGUCGGAAACGGCUGCUAAUACCGCAUAAUGCAGCGGCAUCGCAAGAUGACAGUUGUUAAAGAUUUAUCGCUUGAAGAGGAGCUUGCGGCAGAUUAGCUAGUUGGUAAGGUAAUGGCUUACCAAGGCUACGAUCUGUAACCGGUCUAAGAGGACGGUCGGUCACACUGACACUGAAUAACGGGUCAGACUCCUACGGGAGGCAGCAGUCGGGAAUUUUGGGCAAUGGGCGAAAGCCUGACCCAGCAACGCCGCGUGAAGGAUGAAGUAUUCCGGUAUGUAAACUUCGAAAGAAUAGGAAGAAUUAAUGACGGUACUAUUUAUAAGGUCCGGCUAACUACGUGCCAGCAGCCGCGGUAAUACGUAGGGACCAAGCGUUGUUCGGAUUUACUGGGCGUAAAGGGCGCGUAGGCGGCAUGACAAGUCACUUGUGAAAUCUCCGGGCUUAACUCGGAACGGCCAAGUGAUACUGUCACGCUAGAGUGCGGAAGGGGCAAUCAGAAUUCUUGGUGUAGCGGUGAAAUGCGUAGAUAUCAAGAGGAAUACCUGAGGUGAAGACGGGUUGCUAGGCCGACACUGACGCUGACAGCGCGAAAGCCAGGGGAGCAAACGGGAUUAGAUA